AAUCGUACUUACCACGCGAUUGUUUUAAAGUGAGAUAAUGCAUACAAAGCACUUGGCACAGCAUUUGACACAGAGUAAGAAGGUGGUAUUUAUUGAGCUAUUACCUAACUAAUAAUGAUAGCAUUACUAGAGCUAAUAAUAUAAUAUUAGCAUUAUUUUUAUUUACCAGAAGUGUAUACUUCAGGCCCGCUCAGUCCAGUUCAGAUUCUAAAGCUUACACAGUGGGAGGGAGGGAGAGGCUUAUCUGGCAUAAUGCCCUUUCCUCAGAUUCUAGAAUAUUGGUAAUAACAGGCGUGGGUCCCGGCAUGUCAUUAGAAGAAAGCUGGCAGCAGCCUCACUCUUGUGUGCCUUUCCACCAUCUGAAGCAGAGACAAAGGACACUUAUCCAAAGAGAAAAAUUAGAUUAGGCAAUUUACCAAUUCAUGGAAUUCAUUCAGUUGUUUCUGUCCUUUCCUUUUCAAGUAGCUGUGUCCCUAUCUGCCUCCUACAGGCAGUACCUGGACAGGUCAGCCUGUGUGUCUGCAGAACUCUCUACUGCUGGGGGACCCUGUCCAGGAUCACUGGAUUGAUGUCACUGGAAGUGAAGUAGAAUUAUCAGAGGAAGAGAGGGCGUGAUUGGCAGCUGGGAGGGAGCAGCCAUCAGAGCUAUGCCUCUCUCAUGGAGCACCUGGAGAAAAGAAGAUUCUAGCUUUUCCAGCCCAUGAACAGCCCAGUGCUUAUCUUCCACUGCAUCCAAAAGGGAAGCUGGGGGUGUAGUGGAGGGUGGGCUUCUACUUUUUAAGAAAAUGCAUUUUUUUUUAUUAUAAAUGUAUUGCUUCCUUAGAAAUAAAAAGGUAUGAAAAUGUA
RNAcentral lists this long non-coding RNA (846 nucleotides) under Homo sapiens (human). RNAcentral describes it as "HSALNT0364183". The record is from RNAcentral. Lineage: Eukaryota; Metazoa; Chordata; Mammalia; Primates; Hominidae.